AACGGGUGAGUAACACGUGAGUAACCUGCCCUUAACUUCGGGAUAAGCCUGGGAAACCGGGUCUAAUACCGGAUACGACCUCCUGACGCAUGUCAUGGGGGUGGAAAGCUUGAUGCGGUUUUGGAUGGACUCGCGGCCUAUCAGCUAGUUGGUUGGGGUAAUGGCCCACCAAGGCGACGACGGGUAGCCGGCCUGAGAGGGUGACCGGCCACACUGGGACUGAGACACGGCCCAGACUCCUACGGGAGGCAGCAGUGGGGAAUAUUGCACAAUGGGCGAAAGCCUGAUGCAGCGACGCCGCGUGAGGGACGAAGGCCUUCGGGUUGUAAACCUCUUUCAGCAGGGAAGAAGCGAAAGUGACGGUACCUGCAGAAGAAGCGCCGGCU
This 386-nucleotide ribosomal RNA is filed under the name grassland soil bacterium TSA-12. Its description in RNAcentral is "bacterial SSU rRNA". It matches the Rfam family "Bacterial small subunit ribosomal RNA", at positions 101 to 498 of the family's 1533-position model. The record is from RNAcentral.